Molecule: non-coding RNA, 500 nt
Organism: Pelodiscus sinensis (Chinese soft-shelled turtle)
Lineage: Eukaryota; Metazoa; Chordata; Testudines; Trionychidae
Source: RefSeq, a predicted model, not a curated record
AUGCACUCCUGUCAACAGGAGAGCAGCCCCCUGCUGGUCUUAGCACACACAGGAUGUUGUGGAAAAGGAGGGACAUAAAAGUGGUGCUUCAUAGCACAACACACAGUCUGAGCUCUGCAAAGCCAGGAACACCUGGCCCAUCAACUCUCAGCAAGUCAGCGUGAAAAUGGGUCAUUCAGAGCUGCUGUAUUCACAGAUCAGGAACCUGAGACAGAAUGUGGAUAAUCAUUAAGAACCAUUUGAUAUUUGAAAGAGCAGUGCAACGAACUCUCAUUUCACACACUAUAUUGGAAAUGUAAAUACAACAUCCUGCUCAAAGGGCAAAAAUGGAAAUGAAAAUCAGAGGCAUCUUAUUAUGAAUCUCUCAAGUAAUCUAAGAUAUCCUGCCCCUUGUACUCCCACACAUUUGUAAAAAAAUAUGUAAAAAAACCCCUACAGAUUCAUUAAAACUAACAAGAGUUUCAGCUUACAGAAUAAAAACAAAAUUCAUUAGAAUUUGA